This 528-nucleotide ribosomal RNA is filed under the name Triticum aestivum (bread wheat). Its description in RNAcentral is "partial small subunit ribosomal RNA". The record is from RNAcentral. Lineage: Eukaryota; Viridiplantae; Streptophyta; Magnoliopsida; Poales; Poaceae.
AUGGUGCGGUCGCGGGAAGCGGAGACGAUCUGUCGGUUGUCAAUGGAGAAGGCGACGGAGAGGACGUCCUUCUCGUGGCCGACGAAGCGGCGGGUGGUGACCCCGGUGGAGAGGUCCCAGAGGCGGAGCUCGCCGUCCCAGGAUCCGGAGAGCGCGAACUGGCCGUCGGAGCUGAGGACGACGUCCUGGACAAAGUGGCCGUGUCCGGUGAGGCGGCGGAAGGGGACGCCGUACUCGGAGCUGGAGUCCUGGGUGGCCUGGAUGGGGUUGGUGAGGUCCCAGACGAGCAGCGACUUGUCGCGGGAGGAGGAGACGAUGAAGGGCGAGUUGUCGAUGGGCGUCGCGAUGGCCGUGACCACGUCGUUGUGGCCGCGCAUCACACCGGCGUACACGAGGGACUCCUGCGCGCCGGCCAUGGUGGUGGGGCGGGGCGAAGCGAGCGCUAGGGUUUUGGGGGGUGCGGUGGAGGCGGCGGCGCAGGCUAGAGAUGAGAAGGAAAGCGGGCGGAGAGGGAGGAGGAGUUUAUAG